GACGAACGCUGGCGGCGUGCUUAACACAUGCAAGUCGAACGGAAAGGCCCUGCUUUUGUGGGGUGCUCGAGUGACGAACGGGUGAGUAACACGUGAGUAACCUGCCCUCGCUUUUGGGAUAACUUCCGGAAACUGGGGCUAAUUCCGGAUAGGUGCUCCUGCUUCAUGGUGGGGGUUGGAAAGUUUCGGCGGUUGGGGAUGGUCUCGGGGCUUAUCAGCUUGUUGGUGAGGUAGUGGAGUACCAAGGCGUUGACGGGUAGCCGGCCUGAGAGGGUGACCGGCCACAUUGGGACUGGGAUACGGGCCAGAGUCAUACGGGAGGCAGCGGCGGAGGAUAGUGCAAAAUAGGCGGAAGCCUGAUGCAGCGACGCCGCGUGUGGGAUGACGGCCUUCGGGUUGUAAACCGCUUUCGGCUGUGACGAAGCGUGAGUGACGGUACUGGGUAAAGAAGCACCGGCUAACUACGUG
This 468-nucleotide ribosomal RNA is filed under the name uncultured bacterium. RNAcentral's name for it is "partial 16S ribosomal RNA". It matches the Rfam family "Bacterial small subunit ribosomal RNA", at positions 28 to 507 of the family's 1533-position model. The record is from RNAcentral.